Molecule: ribosomal RNA, 852 nt
Filed under: Zasmidium eucalyptigenum
Lineage: Eukaryota; Fungi; Ascomycota; Dothideomycetes; Mycosphaerellales; Mycosphaerellaceae
Description: LSU rRNA
Rfam family: Eukaryotic large subunit ribosomal RNA
Source: RNAcentral
AUAAGCAUAUCAAUAAGCGGAGGAAAAGAAACCAACAGGGAUUGCCCUAGUAACGGCGAGUGAAGCGGCAACAGCUCAAAUUUGAAAUCUGGCGCAAGCCCGAGUUGUAAUUUGUAGAGGAUGCUUCUGGGCAGCGGCCGUUCUAAGUUCCUUGGAACAGGACGUCAUAGAGGGUGAGAAUCCCGUAUGUGACCGGCGCGCACCCUCCACGUAGCUCCUUCGACGAGUCGAGUUGUUUGGGAAUGCAGCUCUAAAUGGGUGGUAAAUUCCAUCUAAAGCUAAAUAUUGGCCAGAGACCGAUAGCGCACAAGUAGAGUGAUCGAAAGAUGAAAAGCACUUUGGAAAGAGAGUUAAAAAGCACGUGAAAUUGUUGAAAGGGAAGCGCUUACAACCAGACUCCGCGGCGGUGUUCCGCCGGUCUUCUGACCGGUCUACUCGCCGCCGUGGGGCCAACAUCGUCUGGGGCCGCCGGAUAAGACCGUAGGAAUGUAGCUCAUUGAGUGUUAUAGCCUGCGGUGAUGCGGCGCGUCCCGGGCGAGGUCCGCGCUUCGGCAAGGAUGUUGGCGUAAUGGUUGUCAGCGGCCCGUCUUGAAACACGGACCAAGGAGUCUAACAUCUAUGCGAGUGUUCGGGUGUCAAACCCCUACGCGUAAUGAAAGUGAACGGAGGUGGGAAGCUUCGGCUGCACCAUCGACCGAUCCUGAUGUCCUCGGAUGGAUUUGAGUAAGAGCAUAGCUGUUGGGACCCGAAAGAUGGUGAACUAUGCCUGAAUAGGGUGAAGCCAGAGGAAACUCUGGUGGAGGCUCGCAGCGGUUCUGACGUGCAAAUCGAUCGUCAAAUUUGGGUAUAGGG